GACGAACGCUGGCGGCGUGCUUAACACAUGCAAGUCGAACGGAAAGGCCCUGCUUUUGUGGGGUGCUCGAGUGGCGAACGGGUGAGUAAUACGUGAGUAACCUGCCCUUGACUUUGGCAUAACUUCAGGAAACUGGGGCUAAUACCGGAUAGGAGCUCCUGCUGCAUGGUGGGGGUUGGAAAGUUUCGGCGGUUGGGGAUGGACUCGCGGCUUAUCAGCUUGUUGGUGGGGUAGUGGCUUACCAAGGCUUUGACGGGUAGCCGGCCUGAGAGGGUGACCGGCCACAUUUGGACUGAGAUACGGCCCAGACUCCUACGGGAGGCAGCAGUGGGGAAUAUUGCACAAUGGGCGGAAGCCUGAUGCAGCAACGCCGCGUGCGGGAUGACGGCCUUCGGGUUGUAAACCGCUUUCGCCUGUGACGAAGCGUGAGUGACGGUAAUGGGUAAAGAAGCACCGGCUAACUACGUG
This 468-nucleotide ribosomal RNA is filed under the name uncultured bacterium. Its description in RNAcentral is "partial 16S ribosomal RNA". It matches the Rfam family "Bacterial small subunit ribosomal RNA", at positions 28 to 507 of the family's 1533-position model. The record is from RNAcentral.